CGUGUCCUACGGGACGCAGCAGUGGGGAAUAUUGCACAAUGGGGGGAACCCUGAUGCAGCGACGCCGCGUGAGUGAAGAAGUAUUUCGGUGUGUAAAGCUCUAUCAGCAGGGAAGAAGAUGACGGUACCUGACUAAGAAGCCCCGGCUAACUACGUGCCAGCAGCCGCGGUAAUACGUAGGGGGCAAGCGUUAUCCGGAUUUACUGGGUGUAAAGGGGGCGCAGACGGCCAUGGCAAGCCCGGUGUGAAAGGUGCGGGCACAACCCGCAGACUGCACUGGUAACUGCCUGGCUGGAGUGCCGGAG
This 305-nucleotide ribosomal RNA is filed under the name uncultured bacterium. RNAcentral describes it as "bacterial SSU rRNA". It matches the Rfam family "Bacterial small subunit ribosomal RNA", at positions 333 to 654 of the family's 1533-position model. The record is from RNAcentral.